This 208-nucleotide ribosomal RNA is filed under the name uncultured bacterium. RNAcentral describes it as "partial 16S ribosomal RNA". It matches the Rfam family "Bacterial small subunit ribosomal RNA", at positions 568 to 774 of the family's 1533-position model. The record is from RNAcentral.
CUCGUAGGUGGUUUGUCGCGUCGUCUGUGAAAUCCCGGGGCUUAACUUCGGGCGUGCAGGCGAUACGGGCAUAACUAGAGUGCUGUAGGGGAGACUGGAAUUCCUGGUGUAGCGGUGAAAUGCGCAGAUAUCAGGAGGAACACCGAUGGCGAAGGCAGGUCUCUGGGCAGUUACUGACGCUGAGGAGCGAAAGCAUGGGGAGCAAACA